GAUGAACGCUGGCGGCGUGCCUAAUACAUGCAAGUCGAGCGAAUGGAUUAAGAGCUUGCUCUUAUGAAGUUAGCGGCGGACGGGUGAGUAACACGUGGGUAACCUGCCCAUAAGACUGGGAUAACUCCGGGAAACCGGGGCUAAUACCGGAUAACAUUUUGAACCGCAUGGUUCGAAAUUGAAAGGCGGCUUCGGCUGUCACUUAUGGAUGGCCCCGCGUCGCAUUAGCUAGUUGGUGAGGUAACGGCUCUCCAAGGCAACGAUGCGUAGCCGACCUGAGAGGGUGAUCGGCCACACUGGGACUGAGACACGGCCCAGGCUCCUACGGGAGGCAGCAGUAGGGAAUCUUCCGCAAUGGACGAAAGUCUGACGGAGCAACGCCGCGUGAGUGAUGAAGGCUUUCGGGUCGUAAAACUCUGUUGUUAGGGAAGAACAAGUGCUAGUUGAAUAAGCUGGCACCUUGACGGUACCUAACCAGAAAGCCACGGCUAACUACGUGCCAGCCGCCGCAGUAA
RNAcentral lists this ribosomal RNA (515 nucleotides) under uncultured bacterium. Its description in RNAcentral is "partial 16S ribosomal RNA". It matches the Rfam family "Bacterial small subunit ribosomal RNA", at positions 28 to 523 of the family's 1533-position model. The record is from RNAcentral.